RNAcentral lists this ribosomal RNA (439 nucleotides) under uncultured bacterium. Its description in RNAcentral is "partial 16S ribosomal RNA". It matches the Rfam family "Bacterial small subunit ribosomal RNA", at positions 339 to 795 of the family's 1533-position model. The record is from RNAcentral.
CUACGGGCUGCUCCAGUGGGGAAUCUUGGACAAUGGGCGCAAGCCUGAUCCAGCCAUGCCGCGUGAGUGAAGAAGGCCUUAGGGUCGUAAAGCUCUUUCGCCAGAGAUGAUAAUGACAGUAUCUGGUAAAGAAACCCCGGCUAACUCCGUGCCAGCAGCCGCGGUAAUACGGAGGGGGUUAGCGUUGUUCGGAAUUACUGGGCGUAAAGCGCGCGUAGGCGGAUUAGUCAGUCAGAGGUGAAAUCCCAGGGCUCAACCCUGGAACUGCCUUUGAUACUGCUAGUCUUGAGUUCGAGAGAGGUGAGUGGAAUUCCGAGUGUAGAGGUGAAAUUCGUAGAUAUUCGGAGGAACACCAGUGGCGAAGGCGGCUCACUGGCUCGAUACUGACGCUGAGGUGCGAAAGUGUGGGGAGCAAACAGGAUUAGAUACCCCCGUAGUC